GGGUUGUUAGCUCAGUUGGUAGAGCAGCUGACUCUUAUCAGCGGGUCGGGGGUUCGAAACCCUCACAACCCA
This 72-nucleotide transfer RNA is filed under the name Listeria monocytogenes. RNAcentral describes it as "tRNA-OTHER". It matches the Rfam family "tRNA". Rfam says of the family: Transfer RNA (tRNA) molecules are approximately 80 nucleotides in length. Their secondary structure includes four short double-helical elements and three loops (D, anti-codon, and T loops). Further hydrogen bonds mediate the characteristic L-shaped molecular structure. tRNAs have two regions of fundamental functional importance: the anti-codon, which is responsible for specific mRNA codon recognition, and the 3' end, to which the tRNAs corresponding amino acid is attached (by aminoacyl-tRNA synthetases). tRNAs cope with the degeneracy of the genetic code in two manners: having more than one tRNA (with a specific anti-codon) for a particular amino acid; and 'wobble' base-pairing, i.e. permitting non-standard base-pairing at the 3rd anti-codon position. Lineage: Bacteria; Bacillati; Bacillota; Bacilli; Caryophanales; Listeriaceae. The record is from RNAcentral.